This 274-nucleotide ribosomal RNA is filed under the name uncultured bacterium. RNAcentral describes it as "partial 16S ribosomal RNA". It matches the Rfam family "Bacterial small subunit ribosomal RNA", at positions 523 to 796 of the family's 1533-position model. The record is from RNAcentral.
AUACGGAGGGUGCAAGCGUUAUCCGGAAUCAUUGGGUUUAAAGGGUCCGCAGGCGGAUUAAUAUGUCAGUGGUGAAAUCCUCUCGCUCAACGAGAGAACUGCCAUUGAAACUGUUAGUCUUGAAUUCGGUCGAAGUAGGCGGAAUGUGUCAUGUAGCGGUGAAAUGCAUAGAUAUGACACAGAACACCGAUAGCGAAGGCAGCUUACUAGACCUGGAUUGACGCUCAUGGACGAAAGCGUGGGGAGCGAACAGGAUUAGAAACCCCAGUAGUCC